Long non-coding RNA from Oncorhynchus gorbuscha (pink salmon), 503 nucleotides. RefSeq lists it as uncharacterized. Lineage: Eukaryota; Metazoa; Chordata; Actinopteri; Salmoniformes; Salmonidae. The transcript is spliced from 3 exons. The record is from RefSeq and is a predicted model, not a curated record.
CGUGGCCAGUCGCUAGGGACAGAUGCACGUCCUGUACCUCGGAUUGAAGCGUCGCGAGCUGCUGCUAUCGCUAGUUUGAACAAAAUGGCUGCAGAGGCACCACUAACGAAAGCCCGCUGAACGGUAGGAAUUAUCAUCGACGAUGUUUUAAUGGAUAUCUUGGAAAUAACCCCUCUCCAAAUAUUGGAUUUCGCAAGAAUUUGCUCUCUUGGAUUCCUCUAUUUGCGAACAUUUCACAGUCGCGUGCUGUAAAACAUUUUUUUUUGCACUUUAAAAAUGUCAGCUCAUCAAAGACAAGCCGAGAGAAGAAGCAGGGAACACGAGACCAGAGCCAUUUGAUGGAAGAAAAGAAAAAGAGAAAGCAAGAAGAAAAGAAAAAGAAGGAAGCUGCUCAGAAAAAGGUCACUGAACAGAAAACCAAAGGUGUGUUCUCAUCUUUUCCAACAUUCUGCAACCACUCCUACCUCCUAUUACCUUAGACUGACUGACUGAUUGAAAAGAGA